Molecule: ribosomal RNA, 800 nt
Filed under: uncultured rumen bacterium
Lineage: Bacteria
Description: bacterial SSU rRNA
Rfam family: Bacterial small subunit ribosomal RNA
Source: RNAcentral
UGCUUUCGAUAGGCGUCGACCGGCGCACGGGUGAGUAACGCGUAUCCAACCUGCCCAUAACUAAGGGAUAAUCCGUAGAAAUGCGGUCUAAUACCUUAUGUGAUCCGAGGAAGACAUCUGAUUUGGAUUAAAGAUUUAUCGGUUAUGGAUGGGGAUGCGUCUGAUUAGAUUGUUGGCGGGGCAACGGCCCACCAAGUCUGCGAUCAGUAGGGGUUCUGAGAGGAAGGUCCCCCACAUUGGAACUGAGACACGGUCCAAACUCCUACGGGAGGCAGCAGUGAGGAAUAUUGGUCAAUAGGCGGGAGCCUGAACCAGCCAAGUAGCGUGCAGGAUGACGGCCCUGUGGGUUGUAAACUGCUUUUGUAUGGGGAUAAAUUGCUCCACGAGUGGAGUAUUGCAGGUACCAUACGAAUAAGGACCGGCUAAUUCCGUGCCAGCAGCCGCGGUAAUACGGAAGGUCCGGGCGUUAUCCGGAUUUAUUGGGUUUAAAGGGAGCGUAGGCCGUGGAUUAAGUGUGUUGUGAAAUGUAGGCGCUCAACGUCUGACUUGCAGCGCAUACUGGUCCACUAGAGUGCGCGCAACGCGGGCGGAAUUUGUCGUGUAGCGGUGAAAUGCUUAGAUAUGACGAAGAACCCCGAUUGCGAAGGCAGCUCGCGGGAGCGCAACUGACGCUGAAGCUCGAAAGUGCGGGUAUCGAACAGGAUUAGAUACCCUGGUAGUCCGCACGGUAAACGAUGGAUGCCCGCUUUUCGGUCAUUAGACCGUGAGGCCAAGUGAAAACAUUAAGCAUCCCACCUGGG